AACGAACGCUGGCGGCAUGCCUAACACAUGCAAGUCGAACGAGACCUCCGGGUCUAGUGGCGCACGGGUGCGGCACGCGUGGGACCCGGCCCUUAGGUUCGGCAUAAUACCUCGACAGGGGUGCUAAUACCGGAUAAUGUAUGCGGACCAAAGAUAUAUCGCCUUUGGAUGGGCCCGCGUUGGAUUAGCUGGUGGGGAGGGUAAAAGCCUACCACGGAGACGAUCCUUAGCUGGUCUGGGACGCAGGUCAGCCACACUGGGGCUGGGACGCGGCCCAGACUCCUGCGCGAGGCAGCAGUGGGGGAUAUUGGACAAUCGGGGAAGGCCUGAUGGAGCUAGGCCGCGUGAGUGAUGAAGGCGUUAAAGAAGAACAGCUCGUUUACCCGCGAUUAUUAUGACGGUACCGAGAGAAUAAGCACCGGCUAACUCCGUG
Molecule: ribosomal RNA, 433 nt
Filed under: uncultured bacterium
Lineage: Bacteria
Description: partial 16S ribosomal RNA
Rfam family: Bacterial small subunit ribosomal RNA
Source: RNAcentral